Molecule: ribosomal RNA, 305 nt
Filed under: uncultured bacterium
Lineage: Bacteria
Description: bacterial SSU rRNA
Rfam family: Bacterial small subunit ribosomal RNA
Source: RNAcentral
UGUGCCUACGGGGGGCAGCAGUGGGGAAUAUUGGGCAAUGGGCGCAAGCCUGACCCAGCAACGCCGCGUGAAGGAAGAAGGCUUUCGGGUUGUAAACUUCUUUUCUAAGGGACGAAGAAAGCGACGGUACCUUAGGAAUAAGCUCCGGCUAACUACGUGCCAGCAGCCGCGGUAAUACGUAGGGAGCGAGCGUUAUCCGGAUUUACUGGGUGUAAAGGGCGUGUAGGCGGGAUGGCAAGUCAGGCGUGAAAACUAUGUGCUCAACCCACAGCCUGCGUUUGCAACUUUCGUUCUUGAGUGAAGGG